RNAcentral lists this ribosomal RNA (430 nucleotides) under bacterium. RNAcentral's name for it is "partial 16S ribosomal RNA". It matches the Rfam family "Bacterial small subunit ribosomal RNA", at positions 355 to 776 of the family's 1533-position model. The record is from RNAcentral.
UGGGGAAUAUUGGACAAUGGGCGCAAGCCUGAUCCAGCCAUGCCGCGUGUGUGAAGAAGGCCUUUCGGUUGUAAAGCACUUUAAGCGAGGAGGAGGCUACUUGGAUUAAUACUCUAGGAUAGUGGACGUUACUCGCAGAAUAAGCACCGGCUAACUCUGUGCCAGCAGCCGCGGUAAUACAGAGGGUGCGAGCGUUAAUCGGAUUUACUGGGCGUAAAGCGUGCGUAGGCGGCUUCUUAAGUCGGAUGUGAAAUCCCUGAGCUUAACUUAGGAAUUGCAUUCGAUACUGGGAAGCUAGAGUAUGGGAGAGGAUGGUAGAAUUCCAGGUGUAGCGGUGAAAUGCGUAGAGAUCUGGAGGAAUACCGAUGGCGAAGGCAGCCAUCUGGCCUAAUACUGACGCUGAGGUACGAAAGCAUGGGGAGCAAACAGG